Molecule: long non-coding RNA, 2569 nt
Organism: Myxocyprinus asiaticus (Chinese sucker)
Lineage: Eukaryota; Metazoa; Chordata; Actinopteri; Cypriniformes; Catostomidae
Exons: 5
Source: RefSeq, a predicted model, not a curated record
ACAGAACAGAGCUGCUGCGCAAGAGAAUUUAAUUGUUAUAUUUAACUAAAUCAUGCAUAAAAAAAUAAAUAAAAAAAAUACAUUAUCAGCAUAAUUUUAUAUUCCAGUGAGCAAGGACAUAAUUUUCUCUCACACUAAACCACGCCCCCAGUUUGGAGUCUGGACUGAGUUCAACCUUAACUUGAAAGUUUUAAAGCGGGAUAAAGAACUGGAGGUUUUCAGCAAAGAAGAGAGACAGCACGUUAAAAAGAAUCCAGAGGAAUAUUUAUGUUAAGCUGGGGUCAGCCAUGAUACAGCACCCCUGGAGCAGAUAGGGUCAAGGGCCUUGUUCAAGGGCCCAACACUGGCAUCUUGGUGGUGCUGGGGCUUGGACCCCCAAUCUUCUGAUCUACCUUGAGAGCAUUUUUCAUACAGUGUACUGUAGGUACUGAAAAUACAGCUGCCCCAGUGAAAAUCAGCUGCUGUGACACUACAGGCUCAAGCUCUGGCACCCAGGCCGACGUGUACCACUGCCGUGUCUGUACCCUGAGUGUGUCUGCACUUUUCAUACACCAGGUCUGUGCUGAGUUCAAAAGAAUUACAUGUGUGGACCUCAAAACAGCCUUUAUGACAUCUCUUAAUGAACAUAGCAACUCCCUCAUCAAAAUGUAUCAUGCAAAGAGUACAGACCUUGUACUGUUGAUGAGAUAAAACUUAUCCGGGACAAACUUGAUGAGCAGAUAUCCUAUCUCAAAGAUUCACUACAGUUCUACAGGGACUCCCCUUGUACCUCAGGGACCGUGAAGCAAUAUCAAACACCUGUCUGGUGAGUUUUUAACUUUAUUUUGAAAGCCCUUUAAUGCUUGCUAUUUAGGAAACCUAUAAAUAUCUACAAACUCAAACUCAGUUAGUUUAUUGAAAGACAUUGAGCUCUUCUAUAUAUUUUUGUAAUAUUUCUUCUUUUUGUCUACAAAAUGCGUUUACAUGUUUGAAAGUUCAUGCCAAUUUUUCAUUGAUCACCAUUCUUUUAACAAAUGUGCAGUUCUAUUUAGUAAGUGCACUGAUUUGGUUUCCAUGUGGCUAUUUUCCUUGAGUGAUUAAGAUGGGUAAGCUUCAGGUAAGCACACAAUGUCAGGCCAUGUUUUGUUUGCAUGAGUGUAUUUGAGUUUUGAUUUUACAUUUACCAUGCACAAUCAUUUCUCAUUAAAUAUAAUUCUUAGGAAACAAAUUUAGAAGAGACCUAAACCAGAGGAUGGAAACUGAACAUCUUGAAGUGAUGGAGGAUGACCUCUCACAGGCAGCGAAGCAGACAUGUCUAAAAUUUGGCAUCAUUCUGGAGGUAACUGUGUUCAUGGAGGACCUAUCUGACUUUCCCAUGGCUUUCAUAGUACUCUUUAGACUUCUCUAUGCGCAUAUGAGACAACAUCUUUGUGGGACAGGGAGAAAAGUGCACCAACAUAGUUCAGUCCCUUACUUUUAGAGAUACAGUACUAUUGUUCAGUCAUACAUAAUCACGGAUGGGAGCACCUAUAUUUUUUAUAGACCAUCCUUAUAAUUUUGAAAGGGAAACACUGAUUUGUGUUCCUCCUACAUGCUGCUGUUCUGUCAAACAAUGUUUUAUAAUCAUUUGUGGCAGUGUUUUAUGAAGCCGUUUUAACUGUGAUGUUUUAUUUAAAUAGCGUAGUCUUAAAGGAUUAGUUCACCCAAAAAUUAAAAUUCUCUUAUGAUUUACUCACCUUUAAACCAUCCCAGAUUUGUAUGUCUUUCCUUCUUCAGCAGAACCAAAAUCUAGAUUUUUUAAGCACAUUUCAGCUCUUUUUGUUCAUACAAUACAAGUGAAUGGGUGCCAUCAGGCUGCUGGCUCUUUGAUGGUCCAAAAGGCAUAUUUAGGCAGCAUAAAAGUAAUCCACAUGACUCCAGUCAAUCAAUGAAUGUCUUUUGAAUCAAAUUGAUAGGUUUGUGGCACCAAAUAAUAUUAUUUUCUCAUCAUAUACUCACCCUUAUGCUGUCUCAAACUUGUAUGAUUUAAAAAAAAACUUUUUUUUUUUUUUUUUUUUGUGGAACACAAAGAUAUUUUCAUAGAUGUCUGAUGUAUUUAUAUCGAUACAGUGAAAGUCAAAGGGAUUCAACACUUGAGUGGUUUAAUCCAUGUAUUCUGAAGCAAUAAGAUUGGAUAUCAAGGUUUAUUGUGAAUUAUUCUUUUAAAUUUUUGUCUGUUUCUCACCCAAAACCAUUCGUAUCACUUCAGAAGACAUGGAUUAAACCACUGGAGUCUUAUGGAUUACCAUUAUAUACAUUUUGGAUCUUGAAAGUUUUGAACACCACUGACUUGUAUUGAAUGGAUUUAAAUAUCUUAAAUCUAUGAAACUAUCUUUGUGUGAGUCCUGCAGAAGAAAGAAAGUCAUACAAGUUUGAGAUGUCAUAAGGGAGUAAAUGAUGAGAGAAUUAUAAUUUUUGGGUGAACAAUUCCUUUAAGAGAAAUCCUGAUCAUCCUGCCUUUAACAGGUUUGUGAAAUAAUGUUUUGUAAACAUUGUCUCAAACUGGUUUAUGAAAUAAAUAAUGUUUUAUUAAAUUUGUCUAAUUUUUUUU